This 86-nucleotide transfer RNA is filed under the name Actinomycetota bacterium. Its description in RNAcentral is "Actinobacteria bacterium (freshwater metagenome) tRNA-Leu". It matches the Rfam family "tRNA". From Rfam's summary of the family: Transfer RNA (tRNA) molecules are approximately 80 nucleotides in length. Their secondary structure includes four short double-helical elements and three loops (D, anti-codon, and T loops). Further hydrogen bonds mediate the characteristic L-shaped molecular structure. tRNAs have two regions of fundamental functional importance: the anti-codon, which is responsible for specific mRNA codon recognition, and the 3' end, to which the tRNAs corresponding amino acid is attached (by aminoacyl-tRNA synthetases). tRNAs cope with the degeneracy of the genetic code in two manners: having more than one tRNA (with a specific anti-codon) for a particular amino acid; and 'wobble' base-pairing, i.e. permitting non-standard base-pairing at the 3rd anti-codon position. The record is from RNAcentral. Lineage: Bacteria; Bacillati; Actinomycetota.
GCCGGGGUGGCGCAAUUGGUAUACGCACGCGGACUUAAAAUCUGCGGCCCUUCGGGGCAGUGUGGGUUCGACUCCCACCCCCGGCA